CGAGACACGCACACGCACGCAUAGGCGUACACGAUUCGAUAGACUUGCAUCAAGACAGAUCCGCGUACCCCACGCAAGGCACGCAUCACUGAAACUGCUGCUGCGUGCGGUGUGGGCGAGGAGAGGAACACAAGCGCGUCGAUCCGCGGUAGCAGUACUGUGUGCAUCCGCCUUUCGUGCUGCCGACCAGGCGGACUUCCUCUUCAUCGUAGCACACACGCACACAUGCAGGAGCAGUAUGUGCGCAAGGCGUGUGUGACCAUUGCUAGCCAGAUCAUCCUUGUGACGGCUGGCGAUGGCACCAAGCACACGAAUACCAGCACAGGCAACAACAACAACAGCGUGGUGGCAGCGACGCGCGUGGCUACCACUCACCCUUCAACGACAUCAGCGGAGACCAAGGCCGUCACUGGUCUUGAUGAUCUGCAACGCGCCUGCGACGCGGUGGUGCGGCACGCCAUGACGCUCUACCGGCUGUGUCGCCGCCCCGGUGGAAGCACCAUCGACAUCGUUUCCGUUGGCACGAGCAGCGGUGGCAGCGGCGCCGGGGCGGCGAGUGCGACCGAGGAGGCCGCGUAUUGCGUCUGCGCGGCAGUCAUGGCGCUGGAGCCGAAUCUGUGGGCGUCUCUGGUGCGACGAGCGCAGCUGCUGCGCCCACGCAAACCGAGCUUUCUCUUCGUCGCCCCUGUCGCUGUCCCACCGGUCGUGGUGAAGGACGUGGUGCGUUUUUUUGGGCGUAGUCGCCAUCUAAUGCGCUCCACCGCAGCACCUACAGUGCUCGCAGGUGGCAUCCCCACUAGGGCAGCAGCAAGCACUGGCGCCGCAACGUCGUCCUUGGCUUGCACAGAGGUGGUAAGGGCACCGGCACCAGCCGCUUCCGCAUCCGCUUCGCCCUUUUCCACCACCACUUCCACCACCAGCACCGCAGCCACCGCUACCGCGACCUUUGGACUGCCGGCCCGGCAGGCGGAGGCUGUUGCUGCAUGUUUCUUCUUCAAGACCAUGUCGGCAGCGGAGAGACUGCGACGUAGUGACGUCUUUGAGGUGCACGCUCGGCUACCCGAUGCAAGUCGCGCUGUGGGAGCGUCGGCCAAAGCAAAUACGCUCACGACGGCAGCAGCACUCGACAGCACUCCGGUGGGCGCGCCCGCCGUGGAUGAAAGGGGUGGCGUCGUCGUGUCGUCUUCUCUGCGAAAACUCACCGGUGCGGUAACGGUUGCCACGGCUACGAGCGCGCAGGAGCUGACUGCAGGCCCGGGGAAAGGAGGGCGCCGGUCCGGGCUUCGAGCAAUGGCACGUGACGCUGCUGCUCCGGGUGACACCGAUCGCUCCUUGCACACACGUCCGACACGAUCAGCGGCUUCACUGCUGCCGUCGCACUUGCCUGCUGCAUCGAUGCUGUUCAACGACGGUUUGGGUGGCUGGGGUGGCCAGCAGGUAGCUGGCAGCACUCGCACGAAUCCCUUGCUGCUCUCGAGUACGCGCAGACCCGGCUGCGUGGACGGCGCUGAGGAUGACGCCGGGAUCGGUGGCUGGCCAAGCGGGAUCAGCAGUGAGAGCAGCUCGCAGAGUCGGGGCUCGAGCCCAGGCGACGGCGACAUCGGCACGGGAAAGGCCCAGGGUCGCCAUCCGUUGGCCGUCAAGGGCGAUUCUGCACACGACCAGCAAGCGGCCGACACCGCUGCCGUGCUUACGCGACUGUACGCGUUGGCACUAUCGGCAGAGGACCCAGCCGCUGAUGUGCCUCUGAAUGCCGAGGCCGCCACACAGCAGCAGCAGCAGAACAGUGGUGGCAGCGACCAACAUCGGGUCGGCGAUGCGGCUGCCUUGUCAAUGGGCACUCACACCCUCUUCUCAGCCGCUGUCCCCCCAGCCAUGCUCUCGUCGGGCAGCGGGCUGAAUCUUGUCGCACUCGGCGCCUCCGUCACGUACGCAUGUGAUGCGCUGCACUGGGGUCGACUCCAGAUGAUGGUGCGGUACCCGCUGCUGUUUCGGGCCAUUCCAGCUCCUGCCGAGACGAGCACCACUGUCGCGCUCGCAGGCGGUGGUGAGGCACUCACGGUGGAAGCGAUGGCACGCAUGAGUGGCACCUUAGGUAUGGCGCGCACCGCCGCCACCGUUUUCUCGCCGGCUUCAGAAACGCCGCCUGACUCGACUGCAGGCAACUGCGACGCGACGCCUCCUUCCUCUGCUUCUCUUCUCGCCUACAUGUCGUCUCUGUAUGGUGCUGCCGGCUCCAUCUUCAGCCCGGCGCGUCUGCGCACGUCAUCACCGCCGCUGCUCUUCCCUCCUUUACCGAGCCUCGUCACGGAUGGCUUCUUGUUUACUCGGCUGCUGAUCUGCAGUGCGUGGCUUCUCGUCUACGCUGACGGUCUCUUUGGCAGCGACGACAGCGUAGCGAGUGUGGAACCGACCCAGUCUGUCACUAGCGGCAGAGGCCGCGGUGGCGGCGCCUGGCCACGAGUACGCCCCACCCCAGCCGUGCAGGCCAUCGUCGCCUACUGCGUUGCAGUCGUCCGCGAGGCUCGUGAGAUGAGCGCUGGCGUUACCGCCGCUGCCCGCUCAGGUCACGGCAGCCUCAACGGCACUGUUUGCUGCCCUGUGUGCGAUGACCUGGUCAAGGAGAAGCAGCCGGUGCUGUGGUGGUCAACGCUGUGUGAUGACCGCGCUUCAUGGCGAGCGCAAGUUCGCUCUGUGCUGGAGAACAGCAGCACCGACGGCGAUGAGGCGGAGAUUGCGGCGGCUCUGACAGAUCAUCUCGCCUGCGAAGGACGUGGCCGCCGAUAUGCGACACCGUUGCUGAGUGGCUCUGAGGGGGCGCCGUGCCGAGUAACCGCGCUGCAGCAGCGCUGGGGGGCGUACAUAAUGCGGGCCGAUGCUUCGGCGACCGAUUACCGCUCCGCCGCCGCCACUUCUGUCACACGCAGUGGCGCCGAGGAUACAUCCGUUAGGGUUGACGCUGUGGAGGCUGAUGCGGACUUGCAAACGGGCGGCGCCGCCGCUGACGCCCGUGGCACAGCUGGUGACAGCGCGAAAGAGGCGGCAGCGUCAGCGGAGGCGCUGUGGACGGCGCUCACGCAGCGCAUCGCAGCCGCCACGGACUUCUGUGUCUUUCUCUCGGCGCACCCGACCGAGUCCGCCGCCUCUGAUUCUCCUGCGGCAGCAUCAGUGACCAGUGGCCGCCCGAAGCGUCCUCGAGCCGAGUACGACAAGGACGCGGCAUCCCGAACACUUCUCCGCCAUCGGAGGCAGGAUAGGCACCACCGUGGUGAGCGCGCAGUCGGCUCUGACGACAGCGACGACAGUGAGUGGGGCGAUGAAAACGGUACUCGCGCCGACAAAGCCUCGCGUGCCGGCGUCGCGCUGCGGGGGAGCCGACACGCUGUCGAGGAGGCCGAGGAGUGGGGCCGGCUGCUGUGCCGGUGCGGCUGGGCGAACGCGGCCCCACCGUCUGGCGCGACCUCCCUGCGCGUGUACGAGGAGUGGGCAUCGUCAUUGUUCUUGCCGUCUGCCAUCCCGACACCUCAGCAAGCGGCCACGCUGCGUCGCCGACUUUCGCGCUACAGCCUCGAGGAAGUUGUGCGUAAGCUAGUGCUUGGCCGUGGAGGCAGCUGGGAUCGCUAUGCGCGGCUACUGUUUGGCGACGACGUGCGAACCGAUUCCACCGCAUCACCGUUCUGUCCACCACCAGCCAUGGAAGUAGGUGCUGCUGAAACGAACGACGCUCCUGCGCAGCCGAUGGCACAAUCACCAGCGUCACAUUCCAGUCCGCGGCCAAGGGCGCCGUCUCUCUCGCUAUUAGAAGAGGCAGUGCCAGACACGGAAGGCGUGCACGUACCACACAUGCAUGUGAACCCACGUGCUACGCAGAUAUCGCCUCCCCCGCGGCAGCUGAUAGCCGCAGCGCAAUCAACUCCGCACUGUUCUUCAGGCCUCGCGCUAUCCCCACCGUUGCCCUCCGACGCAGCCCCUGCCAACGCGGACGCCGACGCGAACCACGCCGUUGCUGCGGAGCGGUGGGCAGCAACGCCAGUCGGUAAGGGAAAGGUGCCGUCCAUCCCGCUGCUCGUCUCGCCGCUGACGCGGCAGCACCAGAUGAGGGCUGUUUUGGGUGCUGCUGCAGCACCACCACCACCGCUGCCGUCGCCGGCAGAUGCGGUUGAUCGCGCGACAAGCGUGGUCCCCGAGUGCGUUUCCGAUGCCGACGCGGCACCUGCGCGGCGGACGGAUGCAUCGGCGAGAACGUCUCUCUCUGUGCCUCUAGAGCAGCUUCGUGCUCAGCAGGCUGCUUUGUACGACUUGCUGCGCUUCCGGCCACGCCUGCCGCCGUUGCGAGAGGAGGACGCCGUGCUGGAGUGCGCCUCGUGCUUCUCGCUCUUCCACCAGGAGUGCAUUGCGCCGGUGCAGCGGAACUUUAUGGGGCAGACAUUCCUGUGCCACACAUGCCGAUUGCGAUGGGCGCGGCCCUACGUGGCAGGAUGUGGGCUCGCGCACCAAGCACCAGAGCAACACCACGACCCUGAGGUGGCAGGUGGCCGCUGUGCAGCUGAUCGGCCUUGAAGCCUCGGUGAGGAGGGAGGCACCGCUCGCGAUGCUUCGUGAAGCGACGUGCUUCACUAGGAGUUGUUCUGCAGCGCAGAGGUGCAUCUGUUGUGCCUCACUUGCCUUUUCACACACGCACACGCAUAUAUAUAUAUAUGUGUGUGUGUGUGUGUGCGUGUGCCUGAGUGUGUUGUGCGCCAGCCAGAUGACAGCCGCCACUGCUUCAUGGACAGCUGCUCGGUGAUACAUUCUGAGCGGAGCUGCUUCCCUCCAUCGUAUUAGUCCAGCUACCCCUUCCCGUCGGCUUCUCUUCAUGUGCUGCUGCUUGCCGACGGUUGUGUGCGCGCCGCGUACGACUCUGUGUGCUGCAUCUUGGCGCCCGCGCACGCACACAGCGCAGCUCUGCUGCUUUGCUUCGCGGGCCCUCCCGGUUUCCCACUGCUGCAGUCCGGGCCAUCACCGUUCUGCCCGAUUUCUCCGGCUCUCUCGCAGCGUUUCUUGCCAUUUUGGACCCGUGUAUGUGUCCGCGCAUGUGCUUGGUGGCGCGCCUAGUUCCGAUGGGCACUCCACACAGCUGCACCCUCCGUCACGCACACUAUCUGCCAUACAUGCGCGUCCCUGUGGAUUAGUAUCAUUAUUCACCGACGCACUGCUAGCAGCCGGCAUCCGGCCUACACGCACACACAGACAUGCUCGGACCUUCGCCACGCGCGCAUUGCGGCUCACUGCUGUUCUAGACGCCCCGAAUACAUCUCGCACGACACACACACACACACGCGCGCGCAGACGUUGACUGCUCUCGGCUUACACUGCUCUCCCUUCUCCACUUCCCGACUCCUCUGUUAUCACCUCGCAG
Molecule: unclassified non-coding RNA, 5398 nt
Filed under: Leishmania donovani
Lineage: Eukaryota; Euglenozoa; Kinetoplastea; Trypanosomatida; Trypanosomatidae
Description: gene:LdHU3.06.0720(CDS-product:hypothetical_prote in_conserved)
Source: RNAcentral